GGUAGUAUCUCUCUCUCAUGCCUCAGAGAGAGAACAUGCUCGUCUCUAAAUGAGAGCGAAGUACGAGAGAGCGUCGAGUCAGUCUGGGUUGAACGAGCUUGCGAAUCGGUCGUACUAACGAGGAUAAAAAUCAUAGAUCACACUUACAUAUAAUAAAUACAUAUAUAUAAACAAUUCAACCGAAACAGCCUAUUACAAUAUCAGAAGUGGUCCUAACCCAAAACUAUGAGUAACGCAGUUCCAGUAUCCGAUUUAACCCUCGACCAACUAAAACAAUGGCUAGCAACUUUAAACAUGCCAACAAACGGCUCAAGAAAUGAAUUAGUGCUUCGUCUGUAUAGUGUGCCAGUCGAAACACGUGGUCAUGCCCCACCUGGUUGGAACGAACAUGAUAAUUCAGAGCAUAAUUUAGACGACAUCCAAUUGAUGCGGCCUAACCCAGACCAAUUAAAUGAAGCGUCAAUUCCGAGAAGCGUACAACAAGAAGCGGUGAACUCCAAUUUCAACAACAACAACGAUGUCGCGGUGGUUCAACAAUUGCUACAACAACUUCAACUGCUGAUUCCUAGAAUCGAGCAUGGUCACGAUUUGGGCAGAUCUUUCCAGAAUUUGGAAAACAAUGGAAACGCCACUGGCAUUGUUAUCGAUAACAAUGUAGCUAAUGAGAAUAUCGAUGACAGCACCAUUCCCAUCAAUGGCAACGCCACAGUCGAAGCCACCAACCAAUACUCUGGCAACUCAAACGGCGAAUCGAUGGGUAUAGCUUUUUCACUGGCGAAGGAAGUAUUGCUGGACUUCAAUGGCGAAUCGUGCCCCAAAAAGUGGGUGGCUCAGCUUAAAAAUAUCGGUGAAGUGUAUAACAUAGGCAACACUCACUUACGAAUGCUCUUCAUUUGCAAGAUGAAAAGCAAGGCGCAUUCAUGGCUUCAUUCGGAGGUUACACGUAUUCGCGAGCCAGUAGCAGUACUAUGCGAACAGUUAAUGGCAGCUUUUGGAGAGAAGAUGUCCAAGUCACAAAUGCGUCGUCAUUUCGAACAGCGUAAUUGGAAGUUUGGCGAAAAGUUUGCAGUUUAUCUGGACGACAAACUAAUGUUAGCCAACAAUAUUAACAUCGAUGAAGAGGAACUCCUUGAUAAAGUUAUCGAGGGUAUACCUGACAAGGGAUUACGCACUCAAGCACGGAUCCAAUGUUUCGCCAACCCUAAGCAGAUGUUAGCUGCUUUCGCUGAGAUACAUCUAGAGGACAUUCGACGCGCAACUAAAGAUGAAAACGAAACUGGCAGAGCAAACAAGCUCCAAGAGAUGCGCUGUCGUAGAUGUAACAUUAGAGGACACCUGGUGAAGGACUGCAACAGGCCGGACCGUGUACCAGGCUCUUGUGUCAUCUGUGGAUCCAUGGAGCAUUGGGCGGCCAAAUGUCCAGAUAGGAAGGGCAGCCAUGAAACUAAUGGACUCAACCGUACGAACCAGAGCAGCAACAAUUUCGUGAAUGCCCACUUUGAGUUUACGAAUAUCAAAUGCACACCGCUAGAUGAAGAAUUUGCUACAUUUGAAUAUUGCUACCUAAAGUCGGUGAAUCGCACCUACAAGUAUAUGUCGUUAAAGGUGAAUCUUCUUAAAAGCCCCAUUACAAAAAUUAAGGUAAAUAUUGCACUAAUGCAACGGUUAAGUGGCUAUAAGCCAUUUCUAUACAAUAUUACUGUUGAUGCUUGUAAGCUUUUGGCCAAUUACAAAUCUGCCAAUCCUGUGACUAAAUAUCUGCACGGGUUAUUUAAACCAUUUUCAAAUAUGAAUCACUCUUGCCCAUACAGUGAUAGCAUUAUUGUGGAGAAGCUUCCCAUUGACUAUCUGAAUACACAGCUCAGUCUUGUUUUGCCCUUUCCCAAAGGAGAUUACGCUUUCUACAGCAAUUGGUAUGCAUAUGACAUAAAUCGAGCAGAUGUUCGAGUGUACUACACAAUUUCGUAAAUGUUUGUAAACUCCCCUAUGAGUAAAUAUGUUGGGUAUUGUAUGUCCUCUAAUCGAGUGUAUAAGGAGGAAAGGCCUUACCAACUCCUUAAAGCAUAUUUAUUGCAUUGAUUGUUAUCAAGAGUUGGUUUGUCGGCGGAAUUACUUACUUCAUUUGGGAGUCAAUGGCGACUUAAGGAGAGAAAAAUAUCAAAGAAAAUCUAUAC
Molecule: RNA transcript, 2174 nt
Organism: Drosophila willistoni
Lineage: Eukaryota; Metazoa; Arthropoda; Insecta; Diptera; Drosophilidae
Exons: 5
Source: RefSeq, a predicted model, not a curated record